CCUACGGGAGGCAGCAGUGGGGAAUUUUCCGCAAUGGGCGAAAGCCUGACGGAGCAAUACCGCGUGAGGGAGGAAGGCUCUUGGGUUGUAAACCUCUUUUCUCAGGGAAGAAGUUCUGACGGUACCUGAGGAAUAAGCAUCGGCUAACUCUGUGCCAGCAGCCGCGGUAAUACAGAGGAUGCAAGCGUUAUCCGGAAUGAUUGGGCGUAAAGCGUCCGCAGGUGGUUUUAUAUGUCUGCUGUUAAAUCGUGCAGCUUAACUGCAUACAGGCGGUGGAAACUAUAAGACUAGAGUACGUUCGGGGUAGAGGGAAUUCCCAGUGUAGCGGUGAAAUGCGUAGAGAUUGGGAAGAACACCAGUGGCGAAGGCGCUCUGCUAGGACUGUACUGACACUGAGGGACGAAAGCUAGGGGAGCGAAUGGGAUUAGAUACCCCAGUAGUCCUAGCCGUAAACGAUGGAUACUAGGCGUUGUCUGUAUCGACCCGGACAGUGCCGUAGCUAACGCGUUAAGUAUCCCGCCUGGGGAGACGCGAGCGACGUGUGAACGUACGUAAGUAGUAAGUUAGUUACGGUACGUUGAGACGUUGCCGACGGACGACGACGAGGGAGGAGG
This 614-nucleotide ribosomal RNA is filed under the name uncultured bacterium. RNAcentral's name for it is "bacterial SSU rRNA". The stretch from base 1 to 521 matches the Rfam family "Bacterial small subunit ribosomal RNA", at positions 338 to 873 of the family's 1533-position model. The record is from RNAcentral.